Molecule: long non-coding RNA, 261 nt
Organism: Schistocerca piceifrons (Central American locust)
Lineage: Eukaryota; Metazoa; Arthropoda; Insecta; Orthoptera; Acrididae
Exons: 3
Source: RefSeq, a predicted model, not a curated record
CGCCGCACCGAGCAGUCGCUGCCUCACUACCUGACCUGCCGCACCGCACGCACAGUCAGAUCCUCACUGCGUAGUCCAGAGCCUAAACAGCACCAGCCAACGCAGAGAUCCCUCUAGCUGCCAAUUUUUGCUGAUAUACACAGAGUACACCUCCGAGAAACGCGUACUUCGUGUCCAGUACUACUGGUUCUGAAAGGAACGAUUACGACGCAGGUGUCACAGUGUGCGUGGAUAAAGAGCGGUUCCUGUGUAGCCGUCGCC